Molecule: ribosomal RNA, 240 nt
Filed under: uncultured archaeon
Lineage: Archaea
Description: partial 16S ribosomal RNA
Rfam family: Archaeal small subunit ribosomal RNA
Source: RNAcentral
AAAGGGCCGGGCAAGACCGGUGCCAGCCGCCGCGGUAACACCGGCGGCUCGAGUGGUGGCCGUUUUUAUUGGGUUUAAAGGGUUCGUAGCCGGGUUGUUAAGUCUCUUGGGAAAUCUGGCAGCUUAACUGUCAGGCGUUCAAGAGAUACUGGCAAUCUAGGAACCGGGAGAGGUGAGGGGUACUUCGGGGGUAGGAGUGAAAUCCUGUAAUCCUCGAGGGACCACCUGUGGCGAAGGCGC